CAGCAACCACGGUAAUACAUAGGGUGCAAGCGUUGUUCGGAAUUAUUGGGCGUAAAGAGCGUGUAGGCGGUCUGGUAAGUCAGAUGUGAAAGCCCUGGGCUUAACCCACGAAGUGCAUUUGAAACUGCCUNNCUUGAGUAUGGGAGAGAAAAGUGGAAUUCCCAGUGUAUAGGUGAAAUUCGUAGAUAUUGGUAGGAACACCCGUGGCGAAGGCGGCUCUCUGUACCAAUACUGACGCUCAGGCGCGAAAGCGUGGGGAGCAAACAGGAUUAGAUACCCUGGUAGUCCACGCCGUCAACGAUGUGCACUAGGUGUAGGGGGUAUUUACCCCUNCUGUGCCGCAGCUAACGCAUUAAGUGCUCCGCCUGGGGAGUACGGCCGCAAG
Molecule: ribosomal RNA, 385 nt
Filed under: uncultured bacterium
Lineage: Bacteria
Description: bacterial SSU rRNA
Rfam family: Bacterial small subunit ribosomal RNA
Source: RNAcentral